UGUGGAUUAAUUCGAUGCAACGCGAAAACCUUACCUACCCUUGACAUGUCAGGAAUCCUGAAGAGAUUUGGGAGUGCUCGAAAGAGAGCCUGAACACAGGUGCUGCAUGGCUGUCGUCAGCUCGUGUCGUGAGAUGUUGGGUUAAGUCCCGCAACGAGCGCAACCCUUGCCAUUAGUUGCUACGAAAGGGCACUCUAAUGGGACUGCCGGUGACAAACCGGAGGAAGGUGGGAUGACGUCAAGUCCUCAUGGCCCUUAUGGUAGGGCUUCACACGUCAUACAAUGGUACAUACAGAGGGCUGCUAAAUCGUGAGAUGGAGCCAAUCCCAGAAAGUGUAUCGUAGUCCGGAUUGAAGUCUGCAACUCGACUUCAUGAAGUUGGAAUCGCUAGUAAUCGCGGAUCAGCAUGUCGCGGUGAAUACGUUCCCGGGUCUU
This 435-nucleotide ribosomal RNA is filed under the name uncultured Oxalobacteraceae bacterium. RNAcentral describes it as "bacterial SSU rRNA". It matches the Rfam family "Bacterial small subunit ribosomal RNA", at positions 940 to 1382 of the family's 1533-position model. The record is from RNAcentral. Lineage: Bacteria; Pseudomonadati; Pseudomonadota; Betaproteobacteria; Burkholderiales; Oxalobacteraceae.